Molecule: ribosomal RNA, 425 nt
Filed under: uncultured prokaryote
Description: bacterial SSU rRNA
Rfam family: Bacterial small subunit ribosomal RNA
Source: RNAcentral
UAACGAAUACUGGGCAAUGGGCGAAAGCCUGACCCAGCAAUGCCGCGUGCAGGACGAAGUCCUUCGGGAUGUAAACUGCUGUCACGGGUCCGCAAGCGAAGGGGUCCAACAGGCCCUGGAGUUGAGCAGCCCCAGAGGAAGCCUCGACUAACUCUGUGCCAGCAGCCGCGGUAAUACGUAGGGGGCGAGCGUUGUUCGGAAUCACUGGGCUUCAAGCGCGUGUAGGCGGCUUAGAAAGUGUCGUGUGAAAUCCCGCGGCUCAACCGCGGACCUGCACGGCAAACUACGUGGCCUGAGGUCGGGAGAGGUGCCUGGAACUCUAGGUGGAGGGGUGAAAUGCGUAGAUAGCUAGCGGAACGCCAGAAGCGAAAGCGGGGGACUGGGCUGAUUCUGACGCUGUGACGCGAAGGCGUGGGGAGCAAACG